CAGCUAUAUAAGGGAAACAUCUGAUUACACCAUACCCAGUAAAAACUUUGCCAGAAAACAGACACCAAGGGCUGAAAAACAGGAAGAUGGGAGACCACAUGCCAGAAACAGAUCUAAAUUUCCCCAGGGUGGAAAAAAGAGAUAUUGAAAAAAAUCAGGAUCAUGUCAGACCACGUGAUCAAGAACGUAGAACAUCUGAAGACUGACAAACAUUUACAGUCAGAUUAGAUCCAGCCCAUAAUAAGGAAGGAAGGAAGGAAGAAAGAAAAAUCUUUAGCAGAUGAUGAAAAUUCAGCUUUGCAGUGAAGCAAGUGUUAUAAAUUAACUAAGCAGAGAAAAGAGUGGUAGUACCUGGGAUUUAAUAGUUCCCAGCUCUAGCACUCUUGGGGAUCCUUUCAGAGGUCUGGACUUCGAACAGAUACCACACACUGCAGCAAACAGCAGCCGAGACUACUGCAAAUUCUGACGGCUCGUGCUAAACUACUGUGCGCUACAAUAAACUGGAAAUCAACACAUCCU
This is a long non-coding RNA of Mauremys reevesii (Reeves's turtle), 519 nucleotides long. RefSeq lists it as uncharacterized. The transcript is spliced from 4 exons. NCBI's taxonomy places the organism in Eukaryota, Metazoa, Chordata, Testudines, Geoemydidae. The record is from RefSeq and is a predicted model, not a curated record.